UGGGGAGCUCUCCCAUAUGGUCGACCUGCAGGCGGCCGCGAAUUCACUAGUGAUUCGUAUUACCGCGGCUGCUGGCACAGAGUUAGCCGGUGCUUAUUCUGUCGGUAACGUCAAAACAGCAAAGUAUUAAUUUACUGCCCUUCCUCCCAACUUAAAGUGCUUUACAAUCCGAAGACCUUCUUCACACACGCGGCAUGGCUGGAUCAGGCUUUCGCCCAUUGUCCAAUAUUCCCCACUGCUGCCUCCCGUAGGAGUCUGGACCGUGUCUCAGUUCCAGUGUGACUGAUCAUCCUCUCAGACCAGUUACGGAUCGUCGCCUUGGUGAGCCAUUACCCCACCAACUAGCUAAUCCGACCUAGGCUCAUCUGAUAGCGCAAGGCCCGAAGGUCCCCUGCUUUCUCCCGUAGGACGUAUGCGGUAUUAGCGUCCGUUUCCGAACGUUAUCCCCCACUACCAGGCAGAUUCCUAGGCAUUACUCACCCGUCCGCCGCUCUCAAGAGAAGCAAGCUUCUCUCUACCGCUCGACUUGCAUGUGUUAGGCCUGCCCCCAGCGUUCAAUCUGAGCCAUGAUCAAACUCUAAUCGAAUUCCCGCGGCCGCC
This 600-nucleotide ribosomal RNA is filed under the name uncultured Gammaproteobacteria bacterium. RNAcentral describes it as "partial 16S ribosomal RNA". Lineage: Bacteria; Pseudomonadati; Pseudomonadota; Gammaproteobacteria. The record is from RNAcentral.